RNAcentral lists this ribosomal RNA (274 nucleotides) under uncultured bacterium. RNAcentral's name for it is "partial 16S ribosomal RNA". It matches the Rfam family "Bacterial small subunit ribosomal RNA", at positions 523 to 796 of the family's 1533-position model. The record is from RNAcentral.
AUACGGAGGGUGCAAGCGUUACUCGGAAUCACUGGGCGUAAAGCGCGCGCAGGCGGGCUGAUAAGUUGGAUGUGAAAGCCUACGGCUCAACCGUAGAACUGCAUCCAAAACUGUCAGUCUAGAGUCUGGGAGGGGAAGAUGGAAUUAGUUGUGUAGGGGUAAAAUCCGUAGAGAUAACUAGGAAUACCAAAAGCGAAGGCGAUCUUCUGGAACAGUACUGACGCUGCGGCGCGAAAGCGUGGGGAGCAAACAGGAUUAGAUACCCCAGUAGUCC